RNAcentral lists this ribosomal RNA (495 nucleotides) under uncultured bacterium. RNAcentral's name for it is "partial 16S ribosomal RNA". It matches the Rfam family "Bacterial small subunit ribosomal RNA", at positions 28 to 505 of the family's 1533-position model. The record is from RNAcentral.
GAUGAACGCUGGCGGCGUGCCUAAUACAUGCAAGUCGAGCGAACAGACGAGGAGCUUGCUCCUCUGACGUUAGCGGCGGACGGGUGAGUAACACGUGGAUAACCUACCUAUAAGACUGGGAUAACUUCGGGAAACCGGAGCUAAUACCGGAUAAUAUAUUGAACCGCAUGGUUCAAUAGUGAAAGACGGUUUUGCUGUCACUUAUAGAUGGAUCCGCGCCGCAUUAGCUAGUUGGUAAGGUAACGGCUUACCAAGGCAACGAUGCGUAGCCGACCUGAGAGGGUGAUCGGCCACACGGGAACUGAGACACGGUCCAGACUCCUACGGGAGGCAGCAGUAGGGAAUCUUCCGAAAUGGGCGAAAGCCUGACGGAGCAACGCCGCGUGAGUGAUGAAGGUCUUCGGAUCGUAAAACUCUGUUAUUAGGGAAGAACAAAUGUGUAAGUAACUAUGCACGUCUUGACGGUACCUAAUCAGAAAGCCACGGCUAACUACG